This 353-nucleotide ribosomal RNA is filed under the name uncultured bacterium. RNAcentral describes it as "partial 16S ribosomal RNA". It matches the Rfam family "Bacterial small subunit ribosomal RNA", at positions 338 to 688 of the family's 1533-position model. The record is from RNAcentral.
UCUACGGGUGGCAGCAGUGAGGAAUAUUGGUCAAUGGGCUUACGCCUGAACCAGCCAAGUCGCGUGAGGGAAGACUGCCCUAUGGGUUGUAAACCUCUUUUGUCAGGGAGCAACGCCGGCUACGUGUAGCCGGCCUGAGAGUACCUGCAGAAAAAGCAUCGGCUAACUCCGUGCCAGCAGACGCUGUAAUACGGAUGAUUCGAGCGUUAUCCGGAUUUCUUGGGUGUAAAGGGUGCGGAGGCUGAAUGCCAAGUCAGCGGUAGAAUCGCGGGGCUCAACCUCGCUCCGCCGUUGAAACUGGCGUUCUUGAGUGGGCGAGAAGUAUGCGGAUGGCGUGGUGUAGCGGUGCAAUG